GAUGAACGCUGGCGGCGUGCCUAAUACAUGCAAGUCGAGCGAACCACUUCGGUGGUGAGCGGCGAACGGGUGAGUAACACGUAGGUUAUCUGCCCAUCAGACGGGGACAACGAUUGGAAACGAUCGCUAAUACCGGAUAGGACGAAAGUUUAAAGGUGCUUCGGCACCACUGAUGGAUGAGCCUGCGGCGCAUUAGCUAGUUGGUAGGGUAAAGGCCUACCAAGGCGACGAUGCGUAGCCGACCUGAGAGGGUGAACGGCCACACUGGGACUGAGACACGGCCCA
RNAcentral lists this ribosomal RNA (285 nucleotides) under uncultured bacterium. RNAcentral's name for it is "partial 16S ribosomal RNA". It matches the Rfam family "Bacterial small subunit ribosomal RNA", at positions 28 to 333 of the family's 1533-position model. The record is from RNAcentral.